GACGAACGCUGGCGGCGUGCCUAAUACAUGCAAGUUGAGCGCUGAAGGUUGGUACUUGUGCCAUCUGGAUGAGCAGCGAACGGGUGAGUAACGCGUGGGGAAUCUGCCUUUGAGCGGGGGACAACAUUUGGAAACGAAUGCUAAUACCGCAUAAAAACUUUAAACACAAGUUUUAAGUUUGAAAGAUGCAAUUGCCUCACUCAAAGAUGAUCCCGCGUUGGAUUAGCUAGUUGGUGAGGUAAAGGCUCACCAAGGCGAUGAUACAUAGCCGACCUGAGAGGGUGAUCGGCCACAUUGGGACUGAGACACGGCCCAGACUCCUACGGGAGGCAGCAGUAGGGAAUCUUCGGCAAUGGACGAAAGUCUGACCGAGCAACGCCGCGUGAGUGAAGAAGGUUUUCGGAUCGUAAAGCUCUGUUGGUAGGGAAGAACGAUGGUGAGAGUGGAAAGCUCAUCAAGUGACGGUAACUACCCAGAAAGGGACGGCUAACUACGUG
Molecule: ribosomal RNA, 497 nt
Filed under: uncultured bacterium
Lineage: Bacteria
Description: partial 16S ribosomal RNA
Rfam family: Bacterial small subunit ribosomal RNA
Source: RNAcentral